Molecule: RNA transcript, 4714 nt
Organism: Daphnia carinata
Lineage: Eukaryota; Metazoa; Arthropoda; Branchiopoda; Diplostraca; Daphniidae
Gene: Strump
Gene name: WASH complex subunit 5-like
Exons: 22
Source: RefSeq, a predicted model, not a curated record
UGACAACUUCAGAAAACGUAAACAACUAAACAUUACAAUUCACGAACACUAUUUUGGGACAGUGUUUAUUGUUCUGUGUGCUAGGCAUUACAUCCGUAGUCAGCGUAAACUGCUAAAGUUUUAGCUGAACUAUGGCGGAAGAUUUUUUAGCUGAUAACAAUUUAUGUGGUCAGACUCUUCUACGCUUAGUGUCGCGAGGCCAUGCAAUCAUAGCCGAAUUGCUACGUCUGAAGGAUUUCAUUCCACCGAUUUUUCAGUCUGAUCAAAAUAAGUACCAGGAAAUUAUAUUGGAUUUUCGAUAUUUCAAAGAACAGGAUGCAUUUGAUUCAAAAAUUAAUGGAAAUGAUCUCCUGAUGGAAUUAGAUGAGGAAUUGCGUAAAAAUUACAUAGAGAUUCUGACCAGGUUUUAUCUAGCAUUUGAAAGUGUUCACAAGUAUGUUUGUGACCUAAAUGGUUUCCUCCAUGAAGUUGAAGAAGGCAUGUACAUUCAACAAACUCUUGAAACAGUUUUCUUGAAUGAUGAGGGAAAGCAGCUAAUGUGUGAGGCACUUUACCUAUAUGGCAUUAUGCUGUUAGUCACUGACACUCACAUAGAUGGGCCUGUUAGGGAGCGCAUGCUAGUCUCCUACUAUAGAUAUUCUGUACAAAGAACCCAUUCUUAUUCAAAGUUAGAUGAAGUAUGUCAACUGUUGCGCUCUACAGGAUUUUUGAAAUCUCAGCCAGGAAAGAGACCUCAAAAUUAUCCAGAAGAAUACUUUAGACGCAUUUCCAUUGUUCCAGUUUAUUUGGAUGUUGUAAUAGGUCAUUUGAGAUCAGAUGACAUCUACCACCAAAUUGCGACACAUCCACAUCCUGAUCACCGAAGUACGGCCCUUGCUCAGCAAGCUGCUAUGCUCGUGAUUUGCCUUUACUUUACACCCGACAUUCUACACAACCAAACAGCAAAAAUGAGAGAAAUCGUUGACAAAUUCUUUCCAGACAACUGGGUUACUAGCGUGUACAUGGGUUUAAUCUUCAACUUGGUUGAAGUAUGGGAGCCUUACAAAGCUGCACGUAUGGCACUAAGCAAUACAAUCCAGGCCGCAAAUGUGAAAGAGUGCUCAAUCAAACAUUGCAACCAAAUGGAACAACUUAUAAAGCAUUUGCGUCAGUUACUUAAAGAAGGGGUAUUGACAGAAGAAUUCCUUUUGGACAAUAUGCAAAAGCUGAUCAAUUUAAUCCGACAAUCGAACGUUACUUUACGCUGGAUGCUCUUACACACCAAUACGUUAGCUGCUGGUGCAGAAUCGCUAAAAAAAUGCCGGCAAGUACGAGACCAAGUUCUUCUCGAUACGAAAUAUCAGCCAGUUACGGUUUUCGAAUUACUGCUCGACUGCGCGGAACUCGAAUUGAAUGUCCGAGAAACGUUCAGAGUUCUAUUGACCGAGAAACGUGCUAAAUGGCUCCUAUGCAAAAAGGAAUGUAUAGAACGACUGACAGAGUUAGCGGACGUUUUCAGUGGGGCAAAGCCAUUAAGCCGAGUCGAAAAAAAUGAGAGUCUUCAGUUAUGGCUUCGUGAGAUCGCCCAACAAGUAGAAGCAUUGAACUAUGAAGAAGGCACAGCUUCCGGCCGUAAAAUGGUUCAGCUAAUUUCUGCUCUCGAAGAAGUUCAAGAAUUUCAUCAGUUGGAUUCACAGUUGCAAGUAAAGCAAUUUUUGACGGAAACCCGUCGUCAACUGCAUCAUAUGAUACGCACCGCAAACAUUCGUGAAGAUUUUUUGAUCACUCUGCAAAUAGUUUCUGAUUUAAGCUAUGCCUGGCUAAUAAUUGAUUCUUACACUGGCCACAUGCAAACGGCAAUACGAAAAGAUCCAACUCUUGUUGGUCGUCUGAGAGCAACAUUUUUGAAAUUAUCUUCCGCUUUGGAUUUGCCUUUGAUGCGGAUAAACCAAGCACGAAGCGCUGAUUUGGUUUCCGUAUCACAAUACUACUCCACCGAACUCGUCUCCUACAUUCGCCAUGUCUUACAUAUAAUUCCCCAAUCCAUGUUUGCACUAGUCGAGCAGAUUGUACAGCUUCAGACAAACGUUAUCAAAGAGAUGCCCAUGAGAUUGGAUAAGGACAAACUGAAGGAUUACGCACAGCUCGAUCAGCGAUUUCAAGUUGCCAAGCUAACAGAAUCCGUUUCUACGUUCACCGAAGGUAUCUUAGCUAUGAAAACAACUUUAGUUGGCAUUGUCCGUCUUGAUCCAAAGCGACUAUUGGAAGAGGGUAUACGCCGGGAAUUGGUACGCAGAAUGGCAAAGGCAAUGCACGACUCGCUCUCUUUCAAUGCCAAAUCCAAAAACAGUGAUCUCGCCCUUAAACUAACCAGUUUAGGCGAAACCAUGGAAGGUCUCCGGAAAUCCUUUGAGUACAUUCAAGACUAUGUGCGAAUUCAGGGUCUUCGUAUGUUUCAAGAGGAAACAGCACGAAUCGUGGGGUACAAUGUCGAGCAAGAAUGUAAUACAUUUCAAACUGACCACAUUCAAGAUUGGCAGAGUAAAUUCCAGUCCACCGCUGUGCCAAUUCCUCGGCUUCCUUCCAAUGAUCCUCAUUCGGCAACGUUCAUUGGGCGACUAGCCCGGGAAAUUCUUCGUAUCACCGAUCCCAAGACAACAAUCUUUGUUCUCUCCACAAACACUUGGUAUGACAGUAAAUCGCAAGCUGAAGUAUUGAACUUUCUACUGUUCUCCCAGCUUGAACAAGCUCUAAGUACAUCGGGAUUGGCUGGAUUAGACACUCUUUUUGCCUUUAUGAUCACCACUGAAUUAACGAACCUUUUUAGUGAUUUAAAGAAAGAAGUUUUCCGCCAUCAAGAUUCUUUGGAAGUUCUUGCAGAGUUUGAUCAUCUAACCGCACCCACAACAGCAAUUCUCGGCCAGCCAAGUAAAACAUAUGGAGCUUACUGCACGCGUUUCCAAAAGUCUUUUCAGACGCUCCUCGAUCGUGUGCUGAAAAUUGGCCAACUACAGCUGCUGAGGCGAUCGUGCUCACAACAACUAAAAUCAACCGCAUCGUUCGAUUCCGGACUUCUUUGGCAAGCAUUGGAAACUCUCAGCUUAUCAGUAGUAAACGACGUGGUGCGUCGCGACAAAACCUCGAGUUCGAUUUCCACGUCAUUGCUUCCCGAGUUGGCAGAGUAUUUACAUUGGUCGGGCCUCUAUGAGCCAUUCGAGAAGAUUUACGUUGCUACACAUAGUCUCGAGUUACCCUACAUACCUCAUUUAUUGCUUUUGUUUAUCGUGUCGAACUUACACAAGUUUACGUAUAGCAAACAACUUGCUAGUCUAGUGUCGAAACGCCCUCAGGACGGCGUGGACGGCACACCCUUUGUGAUCGGAAGUGCUACAUUGUUUCGUCACCUGGGCUCUGCUAGCACACAGGCAUGCUGCAGUCUCUUAAUCCAAUUUGCUCGUUCUCACUUGGAGUUUGGAGCGAGCAAUAAAGAGAAUCUUAUGGAAAUUCCAAGCGAAAGCGGAACUACACUGGCGUUGCUGGAGCAAUGGGAGAAGUGUGGAUUGAUUAGCCGUGCCUUUUUAAACAGUCUACUCAACGAAGGUGUUUGGUCGCUAUAUAAAACGUCGAUGGCGUGAUAAAGCUUUGUGUGGCCUUUAGUUGUUUUGCAUAAUGGAAAAGUGUCGCAGUUGUAUUGGUUGACUUUAGUCAGUUAGCGGCGUGCUGCCGAGUAACAUUCACGUUCUUUGCGGAAUGGAAUCAUAGGCUCCUUCCGGUUGUUAGGCUUCGUUCCCUUCGUGUAAACCAAUUUGCCACAGCCUGCUCGCAUAGUCAAUGCUUUGAAAACAAACCAUUCACUCAAAGUCAGUACGAGGGAUGGAAUACGAUCAAAUCGCAUGUGUGCUGGAGUUGACCGCCCUGGUUUUCUAUGGAUUCCUUAUCCUUGGUCUGGCUUUGUAUUGGCCUAACGAAGCCAAUGUGUACCUGUUAUUUUUUUGCUUUUCAAAUGGCAUUUUAGCCCUUGUCGGUGCAUACAAUCCAAAAGAAGACUGUGAACUUUGCCGGUGGAAUGGCAUCCUGACUCUGUUCUCUUUGACAUUGGGAUUUGAUUCGUUAUACCGAAGUCAAAUCGGAAGGAAGCGUAUGGCUGAGCAUCAAUUCAGGCUCUAUGAAAACCGACCCGUGCACAUGGUAAUUAUGAGAACCUGGAUUGUUUCUACAAUAUCAUCUUUAGCAGCAUGGAACCUCUACCAUUACAGCUCCGCAUUUCAAAUGUGUUUUUUUAAAGCUUCCCCAUCUGCGAAGCUGGACGAAACCAUGAUCAGUUUCUUUUGGAUUCUCUUCUUCUAUCUCCGGCCAAUAACUCUAACCGUUAAGCGAAUGCCGCACAUCCUGACAACUUGCCACCGUCAAAUGCAAGUGUUGAAGCACGAAAGAGAGCUGUGCAUUAAUGGGAAACUCUUACUUUACAAAGAUCAUCAUAGAAGACUUUUCCAUGUCAUCAUCUCCACGGUGUCUCAAAUAGCGUUUCUGACGUGGCUAACGUUGAGUCUACCCUACGUCAUUCAACUGUUCUCUUUGGUAGCUGGAUUAAACUCUGCCAUUCGUUUGGAGGAAAUGUCGCCAUGGAACGCCGCGGUUUUUACGUAUAUCUAUCGAUCUCUGCCUUUAGUAAAUUGUUUUCUAUUUGUAUCGGCGUUUAUUGUCUAUUUUUCGCUGACGUUAAAAUAUUGAUAUU